GGGCCUGGGUUGGUUUUGACAGCAAGGCAAAUGAUUAAGUAAGCAUGCAGGCUCAGGUAACACAAGCCUCAACCAGGGUUACAAAACAAUAAUUGGCGAAAAUAACUACGCUCUUGCAGCAUAGUCGAAGUACAGUAGACUAAUUUGCGUAUCGGUGCAAAGUGCAUCGAGCAAGACAUCUCUCCACGACCUUUUUUCCGUGGUCAAGGACUCAGAGGUGCUAGCAAAACGGAGAUAGCCUUAAAGGAGCUUUGACUUUAAGGCGAAGAUUUAAAAGAUAAGGUUAAGGCAGGGUGUUUGUCCCUUAGCCUUUUCACGAAAAUAAAGGACAAAAUAAGCAUGUAGAAAGCUUAGUUGUUUCUUGUUUGGACCAGAGUUCGAAUCUCUGCAGGUCCACUC
RNAcentral lists this transfer-messenger RNA (399 nucleotides) under Bacteroidales. RNAcentral describes it as "Onthomorpha sp017647785 Standard tmRNA". It matches the Rfam family "transfer-messenger RNA". From Rfam's summary of the family: Bacterial tmRNA, also known as 10Sa RNA or SsrA, is named for its dual tRNA and mRNA-like properties. Its role is to liberate the mRNA from a stalled ribosome. RNAcentral also lists the same sequence under 1 other name. Lineage: Bacteria; Pseudomonadati; Bacteroidota; Bacteroidia. The record is from RNAcentral.